ACUACAUGAAGCUGGAAUCGCUAGUAAUCGCGAAUCAGAAUGUCGCGGUGAAUACGUUCCCGGGUCUUGUACACACCGCCCGUCACACCAUGGGAGUUGGCAACGCCCGAAGUCAGUGACCCAACCUUAACAGGAGGGAGCUGCCGAAGGCGGGGCUGAUAACUGGGGUGAAGUCGUAACAAGGUAAC
Molecule: ribosomal RNA, 188 nt
Filed under: uncultured bacterium
Lineage: Bacteria
Description: partial 16S ribosomal RNA
Rfam family: Bacterial small subunit ribosomal RNA
Source: RNAcentral